RNAcentral lists this ribosomal RNA (253 nucleotides) under uncultured bacterium. RNAcentral describes it as "partial 16S ribosomal RNA". It matches the Rfam family "Bacterial small subunit ribosomal RNA", at positions 524 to 776 of the family's 1533-position model. The record is from RNAcentral.
UACGUAGGUGACCAGCGUUGUCCGGAUUUACUGGGCGUAAAGAGCGCGCAGGCGGUCGUUCAAGUCGAGUGUGAAAGCCCCCGGCUCAACUGGGGAGGGUCACUCGAUACUGAUCGACUUGAAGGCAGGAGAGGGAAGCGGAAUUCCCGGUGUGGUGGUGAAAUGCGUAGAGAUGUGGAGGAAUACCGAUGGCGAAGGCAGCCCCCUGGGAUAACACUGACGCUCAUGCACGAAAGCGUGGGGAGCAAUCAGG